Ooceraea biroi (clonal raider ant) is the source of this 1831-nucleotide long non-coding RNA. RefSeq lists it as uncharacterized. Lineage: Eukaryota; Metazoa; Arthropoda; Insecta; Hymenoptera; Formicidae. The record is from RefSeq and is a predicted model, not a curated record.
UUUUGAUCUUUGAUCGUGACAAAAGGAUACGAAUCACUUCAGAAAUAAUGCGAUAUUAGUUUGAAAUGGAUGACACGUAUGAAAUCCUUUGAAUCAAGACAGACAUCGGGAUUAAACGCCGAUUUGCUUUAGGAAACUAUUGUGUUCAAGGAUGAUAUUUUUCGACAUCGAUAAUUUUUAUAUCGAUAAUUUUUGUUACAAUCGCCCUAUGAGUGACUUGAGUCUCCGGACGGGGUGGCAUUAAACAAGCAACACAAUUUUUAGCCUAACGCUCCGCAAACGGCAGUAGGUCUGUCGCGGGUUAGCACGGAUAGGAAGAUCGAACACGUUGAAUUUUGUAUUUGAACUGAACUGUCCUACCGGCCUAUAGAAUCGCCAGAUGUCCAAGUCCCCACAGCUUACUUUACUGCAGGAACGUGUGUUUCAUUGAUAUUCUUCGUAUCGCGUUACGACUUCUCAAAUUAGUUAUAAAGCGCUUUCUAUUUUCGAAAUUUGCAAAUCUGAAGUGUGAUUCGAACGGUCGGAAAGGCAAUUGUACUUGUCAAUGUUUCUUUGUGACAGAUGUAUAUAUUAAUGAUAUUUUGUGAAAUUUUAGUAACAAUUCGAUAAAGAAACGCUUUUAAAAGACCAACAAAAGUUCAUCAAAAUUACGAGCGAAUAUAGUGAAAAGAAAAAAUUUAUCAGAUAGUAAUAUGAAACAGUUGGACUUUUAUUAUGUAUCAUUUAUUCAUUCCGUUGCUUGUAUACAUCCUUGACUAUUACCGUUCAACCUUCCUAACGAUUAUACAUGAUGGAAACGAUGACAAACUUGAUAUUAAAUAAGGACAAAAGGUCUUAAACAUGUUAAAUGCCACGUCGAAAAUAUCUGGUCACGUUGCAUUAUGCGCUGAGGUGUGCAAUCAAAUGUUAAACGGCCUGCAUCUGUUAAAGUAAAUGAGAGAGAUAAAUCGUGCAUAUGCACGCAUAGAUUUAUUCGAUUCACUCAUUAGACGCUGGCUCUUUGGCCACGUGUAUUAAUUAGUGUAAAUGAAAACGAGAAUAAAGCAGAAACCGCAGAAUCCAAUAUACGUAACAAGAUUUUGUGAUGUCGUCGUUCGUUGCAUCAAAGAAAUAAUACGUGGACUGCAUUUUCAUACGAGUUGAAGAUUGUUUGGACUGCAUAAUAAUAAUUAGGAGAAAGCAUUCUUGAAAAAUAUCUCAACUGGCUGAGUUCUAAAUUUGAAAUUUUAGCGAUUAAUAGCUAUCUCAAAUCCGAUUGUCUGCUCUGUCAUUCAUUUAGCGAAUGUAGACCGUAAUUUUAGCUGAAACAUGAUUCUGUCACUCUAAUCACCGAUACCACUAGAGUGUGUAACUUGCAACCGUUACCUAUAUAAAUUGGUUCGUGUUUUUGUUUCCCUAUAAGGGACAUUAAAGAUAAUUCGCAAAUUGCGCGAAACACCUCGUAUAAGUCUACGCAUAGACCGAGCCAAGUUCAAUCGAGUGGAAGUGACCAGAAACCCGUAAGACAUAGUGUGAAAUAAUGUGGGAAUAACGUUGGACCCCAGUGCAGCUGCUGGCCACUGCACAAGAUUAGAGAUAACACUCUUGUGCGUGUGACAGCAACUAUAAUGGGGCUUCUAUGGCACAUCACACUUCGACAUUGGGAAUCUAUCACGAGAAGCGCAAGAGAAAAGUAUGAAGGUAUUGUAAUUACUCGUCGUCGUGGAAAAUGUAUUGCUUAAUUCUCUUUGAAAGCGUCAGGAAGCAAUUGUAAUAAGACGACUGAAAUAUGUAUAUGCGUAAAACUAGACGUUAAUUUUAAUUAAAAUAUAUUCUAUGUUUACAAAAUGGA